RNAcentral lists this ribosomal RNA (429 nucleotides) under Chloroflexota bacterium. RNAcentral's name for it is "Chloroflexi bacterium partial 16S ribosomal RNA". It matches the Rfam family "Bacterial small subunit ribosomal RNA", at positions 355 to 776 of the family's 1533-position model. The record is from RNAcentral. Lineage: Bacteria; Bacillati; Chloroflexota.
UGGGGAAUAUUGCACAAUGGGCGCAAGCCUGAUGCAGCCAUGCCGCGUGUAUGAAGAAGGCCUUCGGGUUGUAAAGUACUUUCAGCGGGGAGGAAGGGAGUAAAGUUAAUACCUUUGCUCAUUGACGUUACCCGCAGAAGAAGCACCGGCUAACUCCGUGCCAGCAGCCGCGGUAAUACGGAGGGUGCAAGCGUUAAUCGGAAUUACUGGGCGUAAAGCGCACGCAGGCGGUUUGUUAAGUCAGAUGUGAAAUCCCCGGGCUCAACCUGGGAACUGCAUCUGAUACUGGCAAGCUUGAGUCUCGUAGAGGGGGGUAGAAUUCCAGGUGGAGCGGUGAAAUGCGUAGAGAUCUGGAGGAAUACCGGUGGCGAAGGCGGCCCCCUGGACGAAGACUAACGCUCAGGUGCGAAAGCGUGGGGAGCAAACAGG